CUGCAGCCCGGCUUGAGUGAAGCUCAUUUUUUUUGCGUUGGCUAAAGCUUUGGCAAAAAAUAGCGGGAACGGAAGACGGAAAAAGC
Molecule: unclassified non-coding RNA, 86 nt
Filed under: Kaistella jeonii
Lineage: Bacteria; Pseudomonadati; Bacteroidota; Flavobacteriia; Flavobacteriales; Weeksellaceae
Description: Chryseobacterium jeonii Flavo-1 RNA
Source: RNAcentral